This is a non-coding RNA of Myodes glareolus (Bank vole), 244 nucleotides long. The record is from RefSeq and is a predicted model, not a curated record. NCBI's taxonomy places the organism in Eukaryota, Metazoa, Chordata, Mammalia, Rodentia, Cricetidae.
CUCUGCCUGAGGACACCCUUGGCCAUCCCUGUCGCCUGACCUGUCUCACAACAUCUUGGAUAGACACUCCUUGAGGCGGAGUCCCAGGUCCUUCUUGUGGUUCAGCAACCAGCGGUCACUGGCUGCCGUGAUGUCCAGCACCAGCCAGCCCUCGUCCCCAGAUCGGAGCGUCUGAAGAUCCAAAAAGAACAAGUCAGACUCCCUGUGGACAUGAAAGAACAAUUAACCAAGGGCUGAGGUCGCA